AAUUGAAAUGGUAGAAUGGCUGACC
RNAcentral lists this non-coding RNA (25 nucleotides) under Gallus gallus (chicken). Lineage: Eukaryota; Metazoa; Chordata; Aves; Galliformes; Phasianidae. RNAcentral also lists the same sequence under 2 other names. The record is from RNAcentral.